This 427-nucleotide ribosomal RNA is filed under the name uncultured bacterium. RNAcentral describes it as "partial 16S ribosomal RNA". It matches the Rfam family "Bacterial small subunit ribosomal RNA", at positions 355 to 774 of the family's 1533-position model. The record is from RNAcentral.
UGGGGAAUAUUGGACAAUGGGCGAAAGCCUGAUCCAGCCAUGCCGCGUGUGUGAAGAAGGUCUUCGGAUUGUAAAGCACUUUAAGUUGGGAGGAAGGGCAUUAACCUAAUACGUUAGUGUUUUGACGUUACCGACAGAAUAAGCACCGGCUAACUCUGUGACAGCAGCCGCGGUAAUACAGAGGGUGCAAGCGUUAAUCGGAAUUACUGGGCGUAAACCGCGCGUAGGUGGUUUGUUAAGUUGGAUGUGAAAUCCCCGGGCUCAACCUGGGAACUGCAUUCAAAACUGACUGACUAGAGUAUGGUAGAGGGUGGUGGAAUUUCCUGUGUAGCGGUGAAAUGCGUAGAUAUAGGAAGGAACACCAGUGGCGAAGGCGACCACCUGGACUAAUACUGACACUGAGGUGCGAAAGCGUGGGGAGCAAACA